Long non-coding RNA from Oncorhynchus mykiss (rainbow trout), 2307 nucleotides. Lineage: Eukaryota; Metazoa; Chordata; Actinopteri; Salmoniformes; Salmonidae. The record is from Ensembl.
AGAGUUGAGGAGGGAGGGACUAAACAAGAGCGGAGAGAAAGACAGGGCAAAACAUUUUGAAAAAGAGAGGGGAGGAACAGAUGGGGGGGACUGAACCAUGGAAGUGAGAGAGAGGGGGGAAGGUGGAGCCUCAUUCAGAACAGCUAGUGUGCAGAGCAGAGCAGGGAAGAACUUACGAGUAAAUAGUGCAGGAUAUUUCCAGUCUACUCCGCCUGAGGCUGGAGCCCUAGCAGCUUCAAAAGCAGACAGAGUGAUAAGUAUGAGGAACCUGUCAGUAUAGAAGCAGGACGUUCAUGGGAAGUAACAUAAAUAGUCCACAGGGAGUAACUGAAGCUUGUUAGUGGAACUACUGAGGACAGAAGAGCUUGUCUCAGCCACAACAGAGGGAUGAAGGGGAGGAGGAAGAUGAAGAGCAAGGGGAGAAGUUUGGGUUUGUCGACAGUGCUGAUGAAGAGAAAGAGCCAGCGGAUUGUAAAGACCCUGUCUCAGACUUUGUAAAAGCCAGUCAAAAAUCAAACCAGUCAUUUAAGGAGGCUACAAACCCACCACAGGACAACACACUAACACCCACUGCACACUCACAACAGCACCUCAAUGCAAUGCCCCCUGCUGGUCAGGAGGACGCUCCCUCCCAGAGACAAUACUCCACAGCCUCUCCAGGUGAAGUGUUCUUUCUAUUACAUCACAUUGUGAGUGACUCUUCUCCAAUGGUCUCAUAAGGUGCUGUCAGUUCAUGAAGUGAUUUCAUAAUAGCUUCUGACAAACAGGCAUAAAGGGAGCCAGGUUAAACCUUGUUAUAAUUGGAUAAAGAGCAGUGUUUGUUUGUUAUCAGUAUAAUAUUGACUACCUGACUCAGUCAUGCUGCCAAAAAAGCUCUGUUAAUUACACUCCCAGCUAAAGCGGAAGAUUUUAAUCUACGGAAACUUCUGCUGGACAAAAUGAAGUGACUAGUGCUUAAUUAAACGGAUUCUCACAAAGCCUACAUGUAGUACAAUAAUCCUCUAAGUGGGUUGUGGAGCGUUCCUCUGCCCCGCUGGGGAAUUCUGGGGUUGAUGAUGCUCUACAGUGAAAGCCUGUUACAUAACUAGCGGCUGGUGGAGGAGUCGGUAUCAGGCUGGGACUCAGCCCUGCAGGCAAAUGAGAGGGUUUACAUUGUCUCUAUAUAAAUUAGAUAAUAGUUUGGGCAGGGAUAUCUUUCAUAAAAGCUGCUGUACACACAGUGCCUAUAUACAGCUAAUAUUAAGAUUCUGAUGGGCUUUUCAUCAGCAAUUAUCUUUGAGACACAGAAAUUACCUUCCUAUUCAUAAAACAAGGUACAUUAAGAUAAAACAUUUGGAAUUCAACUAAGUAGGUUUCAAUAUGAGCAAAACUAACUGUUCUUCCCAUAUGGUACACAUUGCACAAGUUACAGUAAAAAGUGACAUGACGUUAGCAUUGCUUUAACAUUAUUUUCUUGGCUCUAAUGUCCCCACAGAUGUUCCAGUUAGCGACCCACGCAGGCGGUAAGAGACUCCAUGCUUUUUAAAUACUAUCACAGUAUGUGGGAAUUGGUAUUACAUCCUUAGAGACUGUGUGGUUUGGUCUCGGAAGAGGAAACAUCUGUCUUCAUUAGGUUAUCAAUAUAGUUGCAUAACACAAAAUCAGAUACAACUCUAUUUUCAUAGAGAAAGUGUGUGUCAAAGUUGAAAGGUUGGACUUCAAAGAAGGAAUUCAAAGGAGACAGCCCAUCUGUGACUGAAUCAGUAGCCUAAACAAGUAGUCUAUAGUCUGCAGGUUAUAGCAGUUGUAACGAUGUGCGCUGAGAGUCGGGAAGCAAGGUCAGGGAGUGAGUGUUUUAAUAAAAUAAACAGAACAUAAUGCAAAACAAGAACCUCGAACAAAGCACAGACAUGAAACAGAAACAAUAACGCCUGGGGAAGGAACCAAAGGGAGUGACAUUUAUAGGGAAGGUAAUCAGGGAAGUGAUGGAGUCCAGGUGAGUCUGACGACGCUCAGGUGCACGUAAAGAUGGUGUCACGUUCUGACCUCUAUUUCCUUUGUGUUGUAUUUAUUUAGUAUGGUCAGGGCGUGAGUUGGGUGGGCAGUCUAUGUUUGUUUUUCUAUGUUGUGGGGCAGUUCUAUGUUUUCGGCCUAGUAUGGUUCUCAAUCAGAGGCAGGUGUCAUUAGUUGUCUCUGAUUGAGAAUCAUACUUAGGUAGCCUGGGUUUCACUGUGUGUUUGUGGGUGAUUGUUCCUGUCUUUGUGUUUGCACCAGAUCGGGCUGUUUUGAGUUCUCACGUUUCUUGUUUUCGUUAGUUUGUUCAUGUAU